This 305-nucleotide ribosomal RNA is filed under the name uncultured bacterium. RNAcentral's name for it is "bacterial SSU rRNA". It matches the Rfam family "Bacterial small subunit ribosomal RNA", at positions 333 to 634 of the family's 1533-position model. The record is from RNAcentral.
UGGGUCCUACGGGACGCAGCAGUGAGGAAUAUUGGUCAGUGGGCGCGAGCCUGAACCAGCCAAGUCGCGUGAGGGAUGACGGUCCUACGGAUUGUAAACCUCUUUUGCCGGGGAGCAAGCGUGCGUUCGUGAACGCGCGUCGAGAGUACCCGGAGAAAAAGCGUCGGCUAACUCCGUGCCAGCAGCCGCGGUAAUACGGAGGAUGCGAGCGUUAUCCGGAUUUACUGGGUGUAAAGGGAGCGUAGACGGCAGCGCAAGUCUGGAGUGAAAUCCCAUGGCUUAACCAUGGAACUGCUUUGGAAACU